CAGCAGCCGCGGUAAUACGAAGGGUGCAAGCGUUAAUCGGAAUUACUGGGCGUAAAGCGUGCGUAGGCGGUUUGUUAAGUCUGUUGUGAAAUCCCCGGGCUCAACCUGGGAAUGGCAAUGGAUACUGGCAAGCUAGAGUGUGUCAGAGGAUGGUGGAAUUCCCGGUGUAGCAGUGAAAUGCGUAGAGAUCGGGAGGAACAUCAGUGGCGAAGGCGGCCAUCUGGGACAACACUGACGCUGAGGCACGAAAGCGUGGGGAGCAAACAGGAUUAGAUACCCGCGUAGUCCCUGUCUCUUAUAC
Molecule: ribosomal RNA, 301 nt
Filed under: uncultured bacterium
Lineage: Bacteria
Description: partial 16S ribosomal RNA
Rfam family: Bacterial small subunit ribosomal RNA
Source: RNAcentral